CCUACGGGAGGCAGCAGUGGGGAAUAUUGGACAAUGGGCGAAAGCCUGAUCCAGCCAUGCCGCGUGUGUGAAGAAGGCCUUCGGGUUGUAAAGCACUUUCAGUGGGGAAGAAAGCCUUGGGGCUAAUACCCUCGAGGAAGGACAUCACUCACAGAAGAAGCACCGGCUAACUCCGUGCCAGCAGCCGCGGUAAUACGGAGGGUGCGAGCGUUAAUCGGAAUUACUGGGCGUAAAGCGCGCGUAGGCGGUCUGAUAAGCCGGUUGUGAAAGCCCCGGGCUCAACCUGGGAACGGCAUCCGGAACGGGCAGGCUAGAGUGCAGUAGAGGGAGGUAGAAUUCCCGGUGUAGCGGUGAAAUGCGUAGAGAUCUGGAGGAAUACCAGUGGCGAAGGCGGCCUUCUGGACUGACACUGACGCUGAGGUGCGAAAGCGUGGGUAGCAAACAGGAUUAGAUACCCGUGUAGUC
Molecule: ribosomal RNA, 465 nt
Filed under: Vreelandella stevensii
Lineage: Bacteria; Pseudomonadati; Pseudomonadota; Gammaproteobacteria; Oceanospirillales; Halomonadaceae
Description: partial 16S ribosomal RNA
Rfam family: Bacterial small subunit ribosomal RNA
Source: RNAcentral